GAUGAACGCUGGCGGCGUGCCUAAUACAUGCAAGUCGAGCGAACAGAUGAGGAGCUUGCUCCUCUGACGUUAGCGGCGGACGGGUGAGUAACACGUGGAUAACCUACCUAUAAGACUGGGAUAACUUCGGGAAACCGGAGCUAAUACCGGAUAAUAUAUUGAACCGCAUGGUUCAAUAGUGAAAGACGGUUUUGCUGUCACUUAUAGAUGGAUCCGCGCCGCAUUAGCUAGUUGGUAAGGUAACGGCUUACCAAGGCAACGAUGCGUAGCCGACCUGAGAGGGGGAUCGGCCACACUGGAACGGAGACACGGUCCAGACUCCUACGGGAGGCAGGAGUAGGGAAUCUUCCGAAAUGGGCGAAAGCCUGACGGAGCAACGCCGCGUGAGUGAUGAAGGUCUUCGGAUCGUAAAACCCUUUUAUUGGGGAAAAACAAAUGUGUAAGUAACUAUGCACGUCUUGACGGUACCUAAGCAGAAAGCCACGGCUAACUACGU
RNAcentral lists this ribosomal RNA (496 nucleotides) under uncultured bacterium. RNAcentral's name for it is "partial 16S ribosomal RNA". It matches the Rfam family "Bacterial small subunit ribosomal RNA", at positions 28 to 506 of the family's 1533-position model. The record is from RNAcentral.